This is a long non-coding RNA of Oncorhynchus tshawytscha (Chinook salmon), 2525 nucleotides long. The record is from Ensembl. Lineage: Eukaryota; Metazoa; Chordata; Actinopteri; Salmoniformes; Salmonidae.
GGAAUAGGGUUCUGGUCAACAGUAGUGUACUAUAUAGGAAAUAGGGCUCUGGUCUAUAGUAGUGUACUAUAUAGGGAAUAGGGCUCUGGUCAACAGUAGUGCACUAUAUAGGGAAUAGGGCUCUGGUCAACAGUAGUGUAUUAUAUAGGGAAUAGGGCUCUGGUCAACAGUAGUGUACUAUAUAGGGAAUAGGGCUCUGGUCUAUAGUAGUGUACUAUAUAGGGAAUAGGGCUCUGGUCAACAGUAGUGCACUAUAUAGGGAAUAGGGCUCUGGUCAACAGUAGUGUAUUAUAUAGGGAAUAGGGCUCUGGUCAACAGUAGUGUAUUAUAUAGGGAAUAGGGCUCUGGUCUAUAGUAGCGUACUAUAUAGGGAAUAGGGCUCUGGUCAACAGUAGUGUACUAUAUAGGGAAUAGGGCUCUGGUCAACAGUAGUGUACUAUAUAGGGAAUAGGGCUCUGGUCAACAGUAGUGUAUUAUAUAGGGAAUAGGGCUCUGGUCUAUAGUAGUGCACUAUAUAGGGAAUAGGGCUCUGGUCAACAGUAGUGCACUAUAUAGGGAAUAGGGUGCUAUUUGAAGAUGCAUUCGGACAUGUAGCUGAGUAGAUGCUCCUCAUCAACAAGUCAUUGCUGAUAUGACAACUAGAUCCUGUUUGGCUGUGUGUCUAUGGCACCCUCUACCCUACUUAAUACACUCAUAGGGACUCUGGCCAAUGGUAGUGCACUGCGUAGAGAAUAUGGUGCCAUUUUGGGAAACAAGAGACUAGAUCCCGUUGUCUUGGUAAUGGUUGCUUGUCUCCGACUCCUACUUAUGGAGAAAGCUAUAUGGAUGUCUGUGAGGACUGUAGGAGAAGGUCGUGCAUUUCUAAAGAUGAGAGAGAGUCUGGUAUUAUUUUUUGCAAUAUAGACCUACAAACUAAGAGCCAUGCUUUUCAUUUUCUUCAAUAUCUCAUCUAGAGAUGGUUUGUAUUGAUUGGUUGCUCUUGCCUCUCUUUCACUCUGUAUGUGCUUUGUCAUUAUUGCUAUUUAUGUUGAAUGUAUUUGCUAUAAACUCAUUCAACUUUAUUUUUUUUAACCAAAAAACAUAAUUCAUGUUCAUAAAUAGACCAAGGCUGGUCUGGGUCUAUCCAGGGCUAGUCUGGAUCUGUCCAAAGCUGGUUUGGGUCUGUCCAGGGCUGGUCUGGGUCUAUCCAGGGAUGGUCUAGGUCUGUCCAGGGAUGGUCUGGGUCUGUCCAUAGAUGUAUAGUUUUCAGACCCCAUCUAAGAAAGUAAAAAUACUCCUUCUUACUUUGCAGAGAAUGGCAGGAGCCCUGCUUGUGUGAAAAGUUAAGAGAAGGUGUAGAGAAGUUAAGAGCUGGUGUAGAGAAGUUAAGAGAAGUUAAGAGAAGGUGUAGAGAAGUUAAGAGAAGGUGUAGAGAAGUUAAGAGAAGGUGUAGAGAAGUUAAGAGAAGGUGUAGAGAAGUUAAGAGAAGGUGUAGAGAAGUUAAGAGAAGUUAAGAGAAGGUGUAGAGAAGUUAAGAGAAGGUGUAGAGAAGUUAAGAGCGUACAAAAAAUGCAUUAUCUUUUACAAGAUCUAAUGUGUUAUAUUAUCCUACAUUCAUUUCACAUUCAUUCACAUUUCCACAAACUUCAAAGUGUUUCCUUUCAAAUGGUGCCAAGAAUAUGCAUAUCCUUGCUUCAGGUCCUGAGCUACAGGCAGUUAGAUUGGGGUAUGCCAUUUUUGGCUAAAAUUGACAAAAAUGUGCGGAUCCGUAAGAGGUUGAGGAAGGUGUGUUCUUCUGUAUGUCCUGAAUACCUUCUGAGGAAACAAGCCGUGUCAUUAUUACAGACACAGUUGUUACUUUAGAUACCCUACUUUUCUCCCCCUGAAACAACUGUUCGUCUCUCUUAUUAAAAACAUGGUUAAACACAGUUCUCAGGGAUAGAAUUGUGGUUCCCAGGCACACAGGUUUGAUACAGCUUGUACCACUGUGUGAUCAACAUAAUUACAGUCAGGUUAGAGUUAACUGUCUCUCUCUCUCUCUCUCUCUCUCUCUCUCUCUCUCUCUCUCUCUCUUUUGCUCUCUGUCUAUCUCUCUCUGUCGCUGUCUCUCUGUGUCUCUGUGUCUCUCUGUCUCUCUGUCUCUCUCUUUUGCUCUCUCUCUCUCUCUCUCUCUGUCUCUGUCGGUCUCUGAGUCUCUGUGUCUCUCUUUCUCUCUGUCUCUGUCGUUGUCUCUCUGUGUCUCUCUGUGUCUCUCUCUCUGUCUGUCUCUGUCGGUCUCUGUGUCUCUGUGUCUCUCUUUCUCUCUGUCUCUGUCGCUGUCUCUCUCUCACACUAUCUCUCUCUCCUUUCUAUCCCUUUCUUUCUUUCUCUCUCGCUCUUCCCUCAUAUAAGCUCUAAGAACACUGCAGUUGGGGCACAGAUCACCCAUUCUAUCAUUUUCACUUCAGUUCACUUCAGUGAGGAAGGAGAGGUGGAGAGAGGGAGGUGGAGAGAGGGAGGUGGAGAGAGGCAGGUGGAGAGAGGGAGGUGGAGAGAUGCAGGUGGAG